CUGAACCAGCCAAGUCGCGUGAGGGAUGAAGGUUCUAUGGAUCGUAAACCUCUUUUAUAAGGGAAUAAAGUGCGGGACGUGUCCCGUUUUGUAUGUACCUUAUGAAUAAGGAUCGGCUAACUCCGUGCCAGCAGCCGCGGUAAUACGGAGGAUCCGAGCGUUAUCCGGAUUUAUUGGGUUUAAAGGGUGCGUAGGCGGCCUUUUAAGUCAGCGGUGAAAGUCUGUGGCUCAACCAUAGAAUUGCCGUUGAAACUGGGGGGCUUGAGUAUGUUUGAGGCAGGCGGAAUGCGGGGGGUAGCGGUGAAAUGCAUAGAUAUCACGCAGAACCCCGAUUGCGAAGGCAGCCUGCCAAGCCAUGACUGACGCUGAUGCACGAAAGCGUGGGGAUCAAACAGGAUUAGAUACCCUGGUAGUCCACGCAGUAAACGAUGAUCACUAGCUGUUUGCGAUACACUGUAAGCGGCACAGCGAAAGCGUUAAGUGAUCCACCUGGGGAGUACGCCGGCAACGGUGAAACUCAAAGGAAUUGACGGGGGCCCGCACAAGCGGAGGAACAUGUGGUUUAAUUCGAUGAUACGCGAGGAACCUUACCCGGGUUUGAACGCAUUCGGACCGAGGUGGAAACACCUUUUCUAGCAAUAGCCGUUUGCGAGGUGCUGCAUGGUUGUCGUCAGCUCGUGCCGUGAGGUGUCGGCUUAAGUGCCAUAACGAGCGCAACCCUUGCCACUAGUUACUAACAGGUAAAGCUGAGGACUCUGGUGGGACUGCCAGCGUAAGCUGCGAGGAAGGCGGGGAUGACGUCAAAUCAGCACGGCCCUUACAUCCGGGGCGACACACGUGUUACAAUGGCGUGGACAAAGGGAAGCCACCUGGCGACAGGGAGCGAAUCCCCAAACCACGUCUCAGUUCGGAUCGGAGUCUGCAACCCGACUCCGUGAAGCUGGAUUCGCUAGUAAUCGCGCAUCAGCCAUGGCGCGGUGAAUACGUUCCCGGGCCUUGUACACACCGCCCGUCAAGCCAUGGGAGCCGGGGGUACCUGAAGUCCGUAACCGCGAGGAUCGGCCUAGGGUAAAACUGGUGACUGGGGCUAAGUCGUAACAAGGUAGCCGUACCGGAAGGUGCGGCUGGAACACCUCCUUUCU
This 1142-nucleotide ribosomal RNA is filed under the name Parabacteroides distasonis. Its description in RNAcentral is "bacterial SSU rRNA". It matches the Rfam family "Bacterial small subunit ribosomal RNA", at positions 383 to 1533 of the family's 1533-position model. Lineage: Bacteria; Pseudomonadati; Bacteroidota; Bacteroidia; Bacteroidales; Tannerellaceae. The record is from RNAcentral.